Molecule: ribosomal RNA, 200 nt
Filed under: uncultured bacterium
Lineage: Bacteria
Description: partial 16S ribosomal RNA
Rfam family: Bacterial small subunit ribosomal RNA
Source: RNAcentral
AGAGUUUGAUCCUGGCUCAGGACGAACGCUGGCGGCGUGCUUAACACAUGCAAGUCGAGCGGAAAGGCCCUUCGGGGUACUCGAGCGGCGAACGGGUGAGUAACACGUGAGCAACCUGCCCUCAGCUCUGGGAUAGCUCCGGGAAACCGGAAUUAAUACCGGAUACGACCCUGACUGACAUCGGUCAGGGUGGAAAGGAU